UCAGAGGGUCGGGCGGCCGCGGCCCCGUUGUAAGGACGGGGGCGAGGAAAGUCCGGGCUCCACGGAAUGAAGGUGCCGGGUAACGCCCGGCGGGGUCAGGGAGCGAUUUCUGGCCUCAGGGACAGUGCCACAGAGAGCAGACCGCCUCCUGCGCAAGCAUGAGGUAAGGGUGAAAGGGUGCGGUAAGAGCGCACCGCGGGACUGGCAACAGGACCGGCAUGGUAAACCCCACCUGGAGCAAGACCGAAUAGGGGUGGCAUAUGGCUGAUUCCGGCCCGCCGCCCGGGUUGGUUGCUUGAGGCGCGGAGCAAUCCGCGUCCUAGAGGAAUGGUCGCCGAACCCCGCAAGGGGGGAACAAAACCCGGCUUAUAGGCCCUCUGACAAU
Molecule: RNase P RNA, 385 nt
Filed under: Sphingobium boeckii
Lineage: Bacteria; Pseudomonadati; Pseudomonadota; Alphaproteobacteria; Sphingomonadales; Sphingobiaceae
Description: Sphingobium sp. 469 Bacterial RNase P class A
Rfam family: Bacterial RNase P class A
About the family: Ribonuclease P (RNase P) is a ubiquitous endoribonuclease, found in archaea, bacteria and eukarya as well as chloroplasts and mitochondria. Its best characterised activity is the generation of mature 5'-ends of tRNAs by cleaving the 5'-leader elements of precursor-tRNAs.
Source: Rfam by way of RNAcentral